Molecule: ribosomal RNA, 708 nt
Filed under: Escherichia coli
Lineage: Bacteria; Pseudomonadati; Pseudomonadota; Gammaproteobacteria; Enterobacterales; Enterobacteriaceae
Description: partial 23S ribosomal RNA
Rfam family: Bacterial large subunit ribosomal RNA
Source: RNAcentral
CCGGGUUGCGGACAGUGUCUGGUGGGUAGUUUGACUGGGGCGGUCUCCUCCUAAAGAGUAACGGAGGAGCACGAAGGUUGGCUAAUCCUGGUCGGACAUCAGGAGGUUAGUGCAAUGGCAUAAGCCAGCUUGACUGCGAGCGUGACGGCGCGAGCAGGUGCGAAAGCAGGUCAUAGUGAUCCGGUGGUUCUGAAUGGAAGGGCCAUCGCUCAACGGAUAAAAGGUACUCCGGGGAUAACAGGCUGAUACCGCCCAAGAGUUCAUAUCGACGGCGGUGUUUGGCACCUCGAUGUCGGCUCAUCACAUCCUGGGGCUGAAGUAGGUCCCAAGGGUAUGGCUGUUCGCCAUUUAAAGUGGUACGCGAGCUGGGUUUAGAACGUCGUGAGACAGUUCGGUCCCUAUCUGCCGUGGGCGCUGGAGAAUUGAGGGGGGCUGCUCCUAGUACGAGAGGACCGGAGUGGACGCAUCACUGGUGUUCGGGUUGUCAUGCCAAUGGCACUGCCCGGUAGCUAAAUGCGGAAGAGAUAAGUGCUGAAAGCAUCUAAGCACGAAACUUGCCCCGAGAUGAGUUCUCCCUGACUCCUUGAGAGUCCUGAAGGAACGUUGAAGACGACGACGUUGAUAGGCCGGGUGUGUAAGCGCAGCGAUGCGUUGAGCUAACCGGUACUAAUGAACCGUGAGGCUUAACCUUACAACGCCGAAGCUGUU